GUUAGGAAUCUUCCACAAUGGGCGAAAGCCUGAUGGAGCGACGCCGCGUGAAGGAUGAAGGUCCUCGGAUCGUAAACUUCUAAAAGAGGGACGAUAAUGACGGUACCUCUUGAAAAGCACCGGCUAACUCCGUGCCAGCAGCCGCGGUAAUACGGAGGGUGCUAGCGUUAUCCGGAAUCACUGGGCGUAAAGGGCGCGUAGGCGGUUUGUUAAGUCCGAUGUUAAAGACUGGGGCUCAACCCCAGCAUUGCGUUGGAUACUGGCAGGCUUGACGGUUGGAGAGGCGAGUGGAAUUACCAGUGUAGCGGUGGAAUGCGUAGAUACUGGUAGGAACACCCAUUGCGAAGGCAGCUCGCUGGACAACACGUGACGCUGAGGCGCGAAAGUGUGGGGAGCAAACCGGAUUAGAAACCCUAGUAGUCC
Molecule: ribosomal RNA, 423 nt
Filed under: uncultured bacterium
Lineage: Bacteria
Description: bacterial SSU rRNA
Rfam family: Bacterial small subunit ribosomal RNA
Source: RNAcentral